This 253-nucleotide ribosomal RNA is filed under the name uncultured bacterium. RNAcentral's name for it is "partial 16S ribosomal RNA". It matches the Rfam family "Bacterial small subunit ribosomal RNA", at positions 524 to 776 of the family's 1533-position model. The record is from RNAcentral.
UACGGAGGGGGCUAGCGUUGUUCGGAAUUACUGGGCGUAAAGAGCUUGUAGGUGGCUCGUUGCGUCGGGAGUGAAAACCUGCGGCUUAACCGCAGGCCUGCUUCCGAUACGGGCGAGCUAGAGUUCGGCAGGGGAGACUGGAAUUCCUGGUGUAGCGGUGGAAUGCGCAGAUAUCAGGAGGAACACCGGUGGCGAAGGCGGGUCUCUGGGCCGAUACUGACACUGAGAAGCGAAAGCGUGGGGAGCGAACAGG